GUCUCUGGUAGCCCGGGCUGACCUUGAACUUCUCAUCCUCCCCUUCUACCUUCAAGUGCUGAGAUCCUCUGUGCACACUGUGUUUACAGUGCUGGGGGCUGAUGGGAGAGCUUUGUGCAUGUCAGGCCAGCAUUCUACCACCUGAGCUACACAGCCCCUGGUGUUUCUGUAGCUCCGUCCAAAGCCCCAGGCUGCUGACUGACCUAGCUAUCCUUAGUGAUGAACAGCUCUCCUGGGGACCCGGGCAACACUGAAGAUGUGUCAAAAGGAUGAGGGAGACUGUACCCGCAGACCUCAGCAUGGACAUCCACCCGGAGGGAGACUGUACCCACAGUCCUCAGCGUGGACACCCACCCGGAGGGAGACUGUACCCGCAGACCUCAGCGUGGACACCCACCCGGAGGGAGACUGUACCCGCAGACCUCAGCGUGGACACCCACCCGGAGGGAGACUGUACCCGCAGACCUCAGCGUGGACACCCACCCGGAGGGAGACUGUACCCGCAGACCUCAGCGUGGACACCCACCCGGAGGGAGACUGUACCCGCAGACCUCAGCGUGGACACCCACCCGGAGGGAGACUGUACCCGCAGACCUCAGCGUGGACACCCACCCGGAGGGAGACUGUACCCGCAGACCUCAGCGUGGACACCCACCCGGAGGGAGACUGUACCCGCAGACCUCAGCGUGGACACCCACCCGGAGGGAGACUGUACCCGCAGACCUCAGCGUGGACACCCACCCGGAGGGAGACUGUACCCGCAGACCUCAGCGUGGACAUCCACCCGGAGGGAGACUGUACCCACAGUCCUCAGCAUGCCAAUCCACCCAGGAGCUCUGUGCUGCCUUCCAGAGGCUCUGCUCACCAAGAAGCUUCUCAAUUUGAAGCAAUUGAAGACUGCUGGUUAUGUAGCUAGGCUACUGAAGCUCAUACCUAAACAAGCACAAAUCCCAGAGUCCCAUCUCAGCGCCACAUGAAGCAGGGAUGCCUGGUGUUGCACACCUGUCGUCACUACAUUUGGGAGGUCGAGAGACGAUCAGAAGUUCGAGGUCAUCCUUGACGAGUGACUUUGAAGUUGUUGCCUCAAAAAAAGAAGAGUUGACCUCGUAAGAUGUUGCUAACCUGCUUUCCCAGCAGAUGUAAGCCGCGACCACCCGUUCUCCUAACGUCCCAUGACAGACGAAGCAUGGCUCCACCAAGGCUCACUCUGGGGAGCUAUGACCAUGCGUCAUGUUGACAGGGGGUGGACUCGGGAUGGCUAGUUUUGAUUGUCCAUCUGACUACAUCUGGAAUUAACUAAAAACCCCCAAAUGGACACACCUGCGAGGUAUUUUUUGCUUAAUUUGAAAUGAGAAGAUCC
Molecule: long non-coding RNA, 1360 nt
Filed under: Cricetulus griseus (Chinese hamster)
Lineage: Eukaryota; Metazoa; Chordata; Mammalia; Rodentia; Cricetidae
Description: lncRNA (ENSCGRG00000026053.1)
Source: RNAcentral